AGGAGGGAGAGGAGGAGAAUGACCCUGACUAUGACCCCAAGAAGGACGCAAAUCCCCAGCCAGUGCAAGCAGCAGUGAAGGCUGUGGCUUUGAGGAUCAACUGCACUGUAACAGCUUCUCAAAUAAAACACUUACUUACGCCUUAUAA
Long non-coding RNA from Oncorhynchus masou masou (cherry salmon), 148 nucleotides. RefSeq lists it as uncharacterized. The record is from RefSeq and is a predicted model, not a curated record. Lineage: Eukaryota; Metazoa; Chordata; Actinopteri; Salmoniformes; Salmonidae. The transcript has 2 exons.